AUGGCCUCAGUGGUCGCCGUGAGUUCAAUCGUUGGUACCAAAAAAUAUAUACAUAUAAAAAAGCAGUAGCCUUGUGGUCAAGACCUUUGGUUGUAGGUGUUAAAGGAGCUGAAGAAGAUAAUCCCACAGUUGAAGAAGCUUCAACAUUUCUGUUUAUUUAAAGAGGCACUGUUAAUAAGCUAUCAAAGGAAAUUUUUUUUUCUUUCACUAGCCUUUUCUGGGAAAGAAAAAUAAUGUUCCCCCUGCUCAUGGCUGUCUUGUUUAUUUUGCACUAGAAGCAGUCUGGAGGGAAAAAUGUCUGCCUUAAAUGAAUUUUAAAUGGAUUAAAAACAGAAAAUGUACAAUUGAGGCAGAGUAUUGUUAAUAUUGGUUUCUUGCCUUCCCUUUCUCCCUCAGUUUCAUAGACUACAACUAAUGGUUGUCUGGAAGGAUUGGAAAUUUGAACCUUGGCCAUGGUCUCUAUAAGCUUCGAUUUCUAUUGUAGACCUGCUGAGUGAGAAGAAGGACAUGAUGGUUUCCCAGGUCCUUGGUCCUAUCCAGCAGUUAAUGUUGAGGAUUCUAACCUGGUGUGUAUACCACCACCACCACCACCCCCAAGAAAAGGAAGAGUCUUAAUUCUAAUGGAUUAAGAGAUGCAUGUGUUUAAAGAGAUUCCCUAGUAGUCUCAUUCUCAUGGUCCUUCCAACACCACCACCAGGUGUC
RNAcentral lists this long non-coding RNA (702 nucleotides) under Marmota monax (woodchuck). Lineage: Eukaryota; Metazoa; Chordata; Mammalia; Rodentia; Sciuridae. The record is from RNAcentral.